UUGUGUGACUGUGAGGAAAGAAAACUAAGUGGCCAGGGGGAUGAAGUGGGGUGGGGAGUCAGAUGGGUCAGGAGAGAGACCAUCUUGCAUACAUUUUCUGUCUCUCCUGACCCAUCUGAUUCCCCAUCCCACUACACCCCCCUGGCCACUUAGUUUUCUUUGCUCCAUUCU
Molecule: microRNA precursor, 171 nt
Filed under: Podarcis lilfordi (Lilford's wall lizard)
Lineage: Eukaryota; Metazoa; Chordata; Lepidosauria; Squamata; Lacertidae
Source: RNAcentral